GUUGAAAUAGCUCAAUGGUAGAGCAAAGGACUGAAGAUCCUUAAGUUAUCAGUUCAAUUCUGAUUUUCAACA
Hammondia hammondi is the source of this 72-nucleotide non-coding RNA. NCBI's taxonomy places the organism in Eukaryota, Apicomplexa, Conoidasida, Eucoccidiorida, Sarcocystidae. The record is from Rfam.